This 440-nucleotide ribosomal RNA is filed under the name Aricidea cf. catherinae JL-2018. Its description in RNAcentral is "partial large subunit ribosomal RNA". It matches the Rfam family "Bacterial large subunit ribosomal RNA", at positions 1948 to 2605 of the family's 2925-position model. Lineage: Eukaryota; Metazoa; Annelida; Polychaeta; Paraonidae. The record is from RNAcentral.
GUGCUAAGGUAACAUAAUCCCUUGCCUCUUAAUUAGUGGCUAGUAUGAAUGGAUAAACGAAAAUCAACCUGUCUCUGUAAGCACUCUAAAAAUUGUCCCUCAGGCGAAGAGACCUGAAUAAAAAUAAAAGACAAGAAGACCCUGUAGAGCCUUAGCACAAAUUAGCGCUUAAAAUAAAACUAAAUUUAAACUACUAAUUUAGCUCCAGUUGGGGCGACUAAGGAACAUAAAACCCUUCCUCUUUAUCCUAACGGCCCAUACGCCUUUCUAAUGAUCCCUAUACGAUCAAAAAACCAGGCUACCUCAGGGAUAACAGUCUAAUCUUUCUCAAGAGCCCAAAUUGACAGAAAGGAUUGGCACCUCGAUGUUGGCUUAGGGGCACUUCAGGGCGCAGCCGCCCUGAAAGUAGGUUUGUUCAACCUUUAAAACCCUACGUGAUC